UUCCCGGGCCUUGUACACACCGCCCGUCACACCACGAAAGUCGGCAAUACCCGAAGCCGGUGGCCUAACCCGCAAGGGAGGGAGCCGUCGAAGGUGGGGUCGAUGAUUGGGGUG
This 114-nucleotide ribosomal RNA is filed under the name uncultured bacterium. RNAcentral describes it as "partial 16S ribosomal RNA". It matches the Rfam family "Bacterial small subunit ribosomal RNA", at positions 1371 to 1482 of the family's 1533-position model. The record is from RNAcentral.